RNAcentral lists this non-coding RNA (107 nucleotides) under Cellulosimicrobium funkei. RNAcentral's name for it is "Glycine sequence". It matches the Rfam family "Glycine riboswitch aptamer". Rfam says of the family: This family represents the bacterial glycine riboswitch. Glycine riboswitches usually consist of two metabolite-binding aptamers domains with similar structures in tandem. Lineage: Bacteria; Bacillati; Actinomycetota; Actinomycetes; Micrococcales; Promicromonosporaceae. The record is from Rfam by way of RNAcentral.
CGAACCACGACGGGAGAGCUCGGUACCCGGUCCAGCGGACCGGCGCCGGCGCCGAAGGAGCAAACCCUCCCCGGGAAUCUCUCAGGCCCCCGUACCGUCGAGGUGAG